CCGCCCAAGCGUAGUAAUCGACGAAAUGCUUCGAGGAGUUAAAAAUAAGCAUAGAUCCGGAGAUUCUCGAAUAGGGCAACCUUUCGAACUACUGAUGAAACCAUGGGCAGGCAAGAGACAAACUGGCGCACUAAAAUAUCUUUGUAGCUAGAGGAAAAGAAAGCAAAAGCGAUUUCCGUAGUUGCGGCGAGCGAAAUGGGAGCAAUA
This 207-nucleotide non-coding RNA is filed under the name Nicotiana attenuata. Its description in RNAcentral is "Bacterial large subunit ribosomal RNA". It matches the Rfam family "Bacterial large subunit ribosomal RNA", at positions 46 to 269 of the family's 2925-position model. The record is from Rfam by way of RNAcentral. Lineage: Eukaryota; Viridiplantae; Streptophyta; Magnoliopsida; Solanales; Solanaceae.